Molecule: ribosomal RNA, 254 nt
Filed under: uncultured bacterium
Lineage: Bacteria
Description: partial 16S ribosomal RNA
Rfam family: Bacterial small subunit ribosomal RNA
Source: RNAcentral
UACGGAGGGGGCAAGCGUUAUUCGGAUUUACUGGGCGUAAAGGGCGCGUAGGCGGUCGUGACAAGUCACUUGUGAAAUCUCCGGGCUUAACUCGGAACGGUCAAGUGAUACUGUCGGACUAGAGUACAGAAGGGGCAACUGGAAUUCUCGGUGUAGCGGUGAAAUGCGUAGAGAUCGGGAAGAACAUCGGUGGCGAAAGCGCUCUACUGGACGGUGUCUGACACUCAGGGACGAAAGCUAGGGGAGCGAAUGGG